RNAcentral lists this ribosomal RNA (164 nucleotides) under Salvia columbariae. RNAcentral's name for it is "5.8S ribosomal RNA". It matches the Rfam family "5.8S ribosomal RNA". Rfam says of the family: 5.8S ribosomal RNA (5.8S rRNA) is a component of the large subunit of the eukaryotic ribosome. The record is from RNAcentral. Lineage: Eukaryota; Viridiplantae; Streptophyta; Magnoliopsida; Lamiales; Lamiaceae.
CCAACGACUCUCGGCAACGGAUAUCUCGGCUCUCGCAUCGAUGAAGAACGUAGCGAAAUGCGAUACUUGGUGUGAAUUGCAGAAUCCCGUGAACCAUCGAGUCUUUGAACGCAAGUUGCGCCCGAAGCCAUUCGGCCGAGGGCACGCCUGCCUGGGCGUCACGC